UACGGAGGGUGCGAGCGUUGUCCGGAAUCAUUGGGCGUAAAGGGCGCGUAGGUGGCCCGGUCAGUCGAUGGUGAAAGCGCGGGGCUCAACUCCGCGUCGGCCGUCGAUACUGCUGGGCUUGAGCACUGUAGAGGCAGGCGGAAUUCCGGGUGUAGCGGUGGAAUGCGUAGAGAUCCGGAAGAACACCGGUGGCGAAGGCGGCCUGCUGGGCAGUGGCUGACACUGAGGCGCGACAGCGUGGGGAGCAAACAGG
Molecule: ribosomal RNA, 253 nt
Filed under: uncultured bacterium
Lineage: Bacteria
Description: partial 16S ribosomal RNA
Rfam family: Bacterial small subunit ribosomal RNA
Source: RNAcentral